RNAcentral lists this ribosomal RNA (426 nucleotides) under uncultured prokaryote. RNAcentral's name for it is "bacterial SSU rRNA". It matches the Rfam family "Bacterial small subunit ribosomal RNA", at positions 355 to 774 of the family's 1533-position model. The record is from RNAcentral.
UCGAGAAUUUUUCACAAUGGGCGAAAGCCUGAUGGAGCGACGCCGCGUGGGGGAUGAAUGGCUUCGGCCCGUAAACCCCUGUCAUUUGCGAUCAAACCUGCCUGUCUAAUACAUUGGCAGCUGAUAGUAGCGAAAGAGGAAGGGACGGCUAACUCUGUGCCAGCAGCCGCGGUAAUACAGAGGUCCCAAGCGUUGUUCGGAUUCACUGGGCGUAAAGGGUGCGUAGGUGGCGGUGGAAGUUUGGUGUGAAAUCUCCGGGCUCAACCCGGAAAAGGCAUUAAAUACUCCAUCGCUCGAGGACUGGAGGGGAGACUGGAAUUCUCGGUGUAGCGGUGAAAUGCGUAGAUAUCGAGAGGAACACCAGUGGCGAAGGCGAGUCUCUGGACAGUCCCUGACACUGAGGCACGAAAGCUAGGGGAGCAAACA